CGCGGCCAGAGCAGACGCGGAGGCCGAGGAGGUGCCGAGAGAGAGCGAGCGAGGGCUGCUAGCAAGUUGUCACCUCUCAACAACACUUUGGGAGGCCGAGAAUCUCUCUCUGCUGCCCAGGCUGGAGUGCAGUGGGAUGAUCUCGGCUCAUUGAAACCUCCACCUCCAGGUUCAAGCGAUACUCCUGCCUCAGGCUCCCGAGUAGCUGGGACUACAAGUGUGCACCACGAUGCCCAGUUUGUCAAGGAUGUCUGUUCUGUAAGUCAAGGGAAUUUUCUGAAUGAAUAUUCAACUGAAAAUAUUUAAAUAGAAAAGAAGAUGAGUAUGCUGUGUGUGUAUGUACGAGGAGAUGCAGAACUAAUGAAGGCAGAUCUUUGGUGCCAGUCUACACUUCUUCCAUAGGGUUUAUAAAGCAGGAUUAGAAAACCGGGUGCCCUUUCCUGCAUUGCCUGUUAUGCUGUCAAACCUCCCAUUUGGGCAGGCCUGAGGAGAGACAGCUCACUCAGUAUCAGCUUGGGCAGCUUGAAGACCAGACUGAGGUCAUCUGAAGGCUCUCUAUUAAAUUUUUUUAAUAGAGAUAAAAAUGUGAGUAUCCCAGAAGGAAGCUUUUAUGACAGCAUAGAAAGUCACAUAGCAUCAAUUCUGUUUUAGUCACAGACCCUCAUAGA
Molecule: long non-coding RNA, 668 nt
Filed under: Homo sapiens (human)
Lineage: Eukaryota; Metazoa; Chordata; Mammalia; Primates; Hominidae
Description: HSALNT0323721
Source: RNAcentral